AGCAGAUGCUGACGCAAUGGUCUUGGACUUCCUGGCCUACGAUCCUUCUGGAUGACCAGCUUGCUGUUCUUGGAUAAGCUAAUUGAGAAGAAAAUAUAGAUAUUACCCCUUAUAAAGUUCACCAGAUGAGAGGAGAAAUGCAAAGAUGAUGCGUCCUUCAGAUCCCAGCCACGCUUUCUUCA
Lepus europaeus (European hare) is the source of this 182-nucleotide long non-coding RNA. RefSeq lists it as uncharacterized. The transcript has 3 exons. The record is from RefSeq and is a predicted model, not a curated record. Lineage: Eukaryota; Metazoa; Chordata; Mammalia; Lagomorpha; Leporidae.